This is an RNA transcript of Dreissena polymorpha, 3125 nucleotides long. It is a transcript of the gene named proline-, glutamic acid- and leucine-rich protein 1-like, with no coding region annotated. The transcript has 16 exons. NCBI's taxonomy places the organism in Eukaryota, Metazoa, Mollusca, Bivalvia, Myida, Dreissenidae. The record is from RefSeq and is a predicted model, not a curated record.
GGAGAGUAUUCAUAUUUUAAAAUAUGGCUGCGCCCAUGGAAAGCAUGAUAGAGAAGUUACUGAACAACAGUUUCCAAAAGUAUGCUGUUCAGAGAUCCGGAGACUUACAAUUACAGUCUUUUGUCAAAGUAAUUGAGACGAACAAACUGCUUCUGAAAAGGGAUGACGAGGGCAGUAACGACAUUGUUGGCUACAUUCACCAGUGUCUAAACAACUCCAAACAGAGAUAUGAGGGUUUGAUACUGCUCGGUGUGCUAGUAAAACAGAGCUCUACAGCUAUAUUCCAAAAGAAUGCUGUUACUUGGCUGAAGUUGCUACUUAAUAUUUUACAGAGUCACUGCCCCCCGCCAGUGCACCAAGCUUGUUGUAAGUUGCUGUCACAGGUAAUCGACCAUUCAGACAGCUUCUCUGAUGUCUCAAGGGAGGUAACCAGCACAUUCAUCCCACAGUUGCUGCCCUUGUUGCUGACCUGUGAACCUGGGUGCCUGUCAGCUGCCCUGACAUGUGUGAGCAUGUGUAUCAGGAAGUACCCUGGGCCAGUGGGGCCGUUCAAAGCAAAGCUUCAAACCCUAGUGGAGCAAAAAUUAGCCAAUGGAAAGAAUUAUGAGGAACUCUAUGAGUGUUUUGCAUUGCUGGCAAGCUGUGGUUCUGGUGGAAACCUUGGGAUUAAACACACAGAGGCCUGGUCAGAACUAGCAGAGGGGGUGUUGGCCAGUUUACAUGAGACACUCAGUUGCAUGUACAGUGAUGUGGAUAUGGGCUCAGGAAGCAGUUGCACCGGGAAACCACUUGCAGGAUUACCUCCCAUUGAUUUCAGUCACAAUGACAGAGUUGUGGCCCUUUUCAAAAGGUGGUGUUCCCUCACCAAGUGUAUGCAAGCUUUACUAAGAGAGGACUUCAAUGCUGUUGCAAGAGUGCCAGCUGAUGACAUCUUGAACAUCAUAUUCCACUGCCUGUCUGUCAACACUAAUAUGUUGAUGAGCCGCCCAACCAGUGAGAGGUCGCUACUGGCCAGCUUCAGUCAGGACGUGCACAUACAUGCUCUUUACUUGCUACAGCAGCUCAUCACACUAUGUGGCAGGAACCUGAUCCCCCAGGGGGUAAUGAUUGUUAGUGUCCUGACCCAGGAGCUGAGCUGGUCCCACAGUGAGGGGGAUGGACACGACCAACAUUACGGGUGUUUACGGGAAGUUGUCUUUGAGACCUUGACAGUAUGGAUCAAAGCUCUGGAUGCAUGCUCUAGUGUGAAAUCAGGGGAGACCACACUUGUCAAAGAGAUCAUACAUGAUUGUCUACCUUAUACAUAUACACUGAAGAUGACCUCAGGUCUUAGCACUGGCUCCAAGACUGACAAGAUGACCAGUGGUCAGGGGUCAAGGAAGGGCCAUAAAGGGAAGGGUUACCAUGAGAUCUCCCAGGGGAUCAGUACCCAGAGGAAGUCACAGCCCCUGGCCAACCAUAGCUUGGUGAAGGCUGCAUUAGAAGCCCUGUAUUGGAUGUUAACCACAUCCGGUUGGGAGUUUUCCCAGAAGUCUCUUCAGUCAGUGCAAGAGUUUGUGAUCAGGAGCUUGCUAGCCCUCCAGCAGGCCCCUCUUGGCAGCCUGCCAGCCCCGUAUACUGACCCCAGCUGCAGGAGGGGUCUCUAUAGGGCCCUAUCAGCCUGUGUGACUACCACACAUGCCAAUGUACCGCCCCCUGUCCAGGUUGCACUGGGACUGUCCUCUGCAGGACUCCGCGAUAAACAUGCUGAUGUAUCAUCAUAUUGCAUGGAAGCUAUGAGGUUGUGUGAGGUGCUGAUCCACCAUAGAGUUCCCUGCCUUAAAGGGCCUGUCGUGUGUGAAAACUUGAUUCAGAUCUCUGGUCAAAACGAUCAGGAACCAAUUGUGUCUCACGUGAUCAACAAAUCUGGUAAUCAAGCUCACAUCAGUCUGGAAACAAAGAAUGGGUAUUCUGACGCUAGUUCUGAAUUUACUAGAAAUGAGGAAGCGAUUGCUGGAAGAACUGCUGGUAAUAUUACAUAUAACGGAGGGUUUUCCGAGAGAGAAAUAAGGAAGGAAAAAGGAAAAGAGUAGGGGAAGGGAAUGAUAACACAGAAAGUGCCAAAAUGAUACAUGCAGAGAAUGAUAUUAAUGAAGAAGAAAGCGAGUCGGAUAGUGACACUGAAGAUGAAGUUGAUGCUAUUGACGACCAUAACGAGGAUAAUGACAGUAGUGAUAUAGAAUUUGGUGUCCAUAAAAUAGAUUCAAACGAAAAUCAGGGAAGACAUGUACCAGUUGAAAAGGAUGAAGUGGUCGUUGCUGAUAAAGCUCAUUCAAACACAAUGAGUAAUGAGGAUGACGAGGAGGUGCUUGACAAAGCUUUAAAUGUGAUGCAUCAAGAACGUAGCGAGGAACAGACAGAACCAAACCCUGAGGCUAAAAAGGAAAUUACAAACAUUCUGUCUUCUUUUGUUGAUGCUGGACCAGACUCAGAUUAAGCUUUUGUGCGUGAAUAUCAGGGGCGCAGCUGCUAUUAGGCACAACUUGCACGGGCCUACAAUUUUUUUGGAAACAUUAAACAAAUAAAAAUGCUUCAACUUCGAAAAACGCAUUAAAAUGUUGACCCUGAGAGGGGUGUGGUGUUAGAAAUCUGCAUUUCAUAUUAACAAGUUGUAAUCGAUUCUCGUUGGAUAAUACAGUAAAAUUUAGUUCUCUGACAUUGAAAUAUCAAAGAAAAGCAGGCCAAAGUAUUAUAUUUUCUUAUCUUAUUAUUUGUCUAGAUAUGCUUUAAAUCUCACCACAGGCGUUAUAGGAUUUUAAAAUCCUCACCCGGACCCCCGUUUGUAUGUAUCAUAUCCGGGCCUACAGCUAAAAAAAAAUGCUAGAUACGUCCCUGAAUAUUUCUGCAAUUUCAUUAACAUUCGUGCCGGGAAUAACAAAAAGAAAAAGGAAAAAUAACAAUCAAUGUAAAAAUGUGAUUAAAAGACAAGUUUUGUUGUUUUUUUAAUUUUAUUGGAAAUAAGAGUAUGAAUUUAGUUUAAUGCAUUGGGCGAAAGUAUAAAUUCAAAUAAAGUGUGUUGUUUUGAUUGCUAUCUCUAGAACAUUCCCAAUGUUGUUGUCAAGGAAUAAAACAUGUAUCGAAAUGUA